CCAGAGAUGGAUUGGUGCCUUCGGGAACUGUGAGACAGGUGCUGCAUGGCUGUCGUCAGCUCGUGUUGUGAAAUGUUGGGUUAAGUCCCGCAACGAGCGCAACCCUUAUCCUUUGUUGCCAGCGGUCCGGCCGGGAACUCAAAGGAGACUGCCAGUGAUAAACUGGAGGAAGGUGGGGAUGACGUCAAGUCAUCAUGGCCCUUACGACCAGGGCUACACACGUGCUACAAUGGCGCAUACAAAGAGAAGCGACCUCGCGAGAGCAAGCGGACCUCAUAAAGUGCGUCGUAGUCCGGAUUGGAGUCUGCAACUCGACUCCAUGAAGUCGGAAUCGCUAGUAAUCGUGGAUCAGAAUGCCACGGUGAAUACGUUCCCGGGCCUUGUACACACCGCCCGUCACACCAUGGGAGUGGGUUGCAAAAGAAGUAGGUAGCUUAACCUUCGGGAGGGCGCUUACCACUUUGUGAUUCAUGACUGGGGUGAAGUCGUAACAAGGUAACCGUAGGGGAACCUGCGGUUGGAUCACCUCCUUACCUUAAAGAA
RNAcentral lists this ribosomal RNA (543 nucleotides) under Escherichia coli. RNAcentral's name for it is "bacterial SSU rRNA". It matches the Rfam family "Bacterial small subunit ribosomal RNA", at positions 1000 to 1533 of the family's 1533-position model. The record is from RNAcentral. Lineage: Bacteria; Pseudomonadati; Pseudomonadota; Gammaproteobacteria; Enterobacterales; Enterobacteriaceae.